UGAACGCUAGCUACAGGCUUAACACAUGCAAGUCGAGGGGCAGCAUGGUCUUAGCUUGCUAAGGCCGAUGGCGACCGGCGCACGGGUGAGUAACACGUAUCCAACCUGCCGUCUACUCUUGGACAGCCUUCUGAAAGGAAGAUUAAUACAAGAUGGCAUCAUGAGUCCGCAUGUUCACAUGAUUAAAGGUAUUCCGGUAGACGAUGGGGAUGCGUUCCAUUAGAUAGUAGGCGGGGUAACGGCCCACCUAGUCUUCGAUGGAUAGGGGUUCUGAGAGGAAGGUCCCCCACAUUGGAACUGAGACACGGUCCAAACUCCUACGGGAGGCAGCAGUGAGGAAUAUUGGUCAAUGGGCGAGAGCCUGAACCAGCCAAGUAGCGUGAAGGAUGACUGCCCUAUGGGUUGUAGACUUCUUUUAUAAAGGAAUAAAGUCGGGUAUGGAUACCCGUUUGCAUGUACUUUAUGAAUAAGGAUCGGCUAACUCCGUGCCAGCAGCCGCGGUAAUACGGAGGAUCCGAGCGCUAUCCGGAUUUAUUGGGUUUAAAGGGAGCGUAGAUGGAUGUUUAAGUCAGUUGUGAAAGUUUGCGGCUCAACCGUAAAAUUGCAGUUGAUACUGGAUAUCUUGAGUGCAGUUGAGGCAGGCGGAAUUCGUGGUGUAGCGGUGAAAUGCUUAGAUAUCACGAAGAACUCCGAUUGCGAAGGCAGCCUGCUAAGCUGCAACUGACAUUGAGGCUCGAAAGUGUGGGUAUCAAACAGGAUUAGAUACCCUGGUAGUCCACACGGUAAACGAUGAAUACUCGCUGUUUGCGAUAUACUGCAAGCGGCCAAGCGAAAGCGUUAAGUAUUCCACCUGGGGAGUACGCCGGCAACGGUGAAACUCAAAGGAAUUGACGGGGGCCCGCACAAGCGGAGGAACAUGUGGUUUAAUUCGAUGAUACGCGAGGAACCUUACCCGGGCUUAAAUUGCAGAUGAAUUACGGUGAAAGCCGUAAGCCGCAAGGCAUCUGUGAAGGUGCUGCAUGGUUGUCGUCAGCUCGUGCCGUGAGGUGUCGGCUUAAGUGCCAUAACGAGCGCAACCCUUGUUGUCAGUUACUAACAGGUUCCGCUGAGGACUCUGACAAGACUGCCAUCGUAAGAUGUGAGGAAGGUGGGGAUGACGUCAAAUCAGCACGGCCCUUACGUCCGGGGCUACACACGUGUUACAAUGGGGGGUACAGGGGGCCGCUACCACGCGAGUGGAUGCCAAUCCCCAAAACCUCUCUCAGUUCGGACUGGAGUCUGCAACCCGACUCCACGAAGCUGGAUUCGCUAGUAAUCGCGCAUCAGCCACGGCGCGGUGAAUACGUUCCCGGGCCUUGUACACACCGCCCGUCAAGCCAUGGGAGCCGGGGGUACCUGAAGUGCGUAACCGCGAGGAGCGCCCUAGGGUAAAACUGGUGACUGGGGCU
This 1448-nucleotide ribosomal RNA is filed under the name uncultured organism. Its description in RNAcentral is "SSU rRNA". It matches the Rfam family "Bacterial small subunit ribosomal RNA". The record is from RNAcentral.